RNAcentral lists this ribosomal RNA (458 nucleotides) under uncultured bacterium. Its description in RNAcentral is "bacterial SSU rRNA". It matches the Rfam family "Bacterial small subunit ribosomal RNA", at positions 923 to 1379 of the family's 1533-position model. The record is from RNAcentral.
GCACAAGCGGUGGAGCAUGUGGUUCAAUUCGAAGCAACGCGCAGAACCUUACCAGCCCUUGACAUCCCGGUCGCGGAGAGCAGAGACGCACUCCUUCAGUUCGGCUGGACCGGAGACAGGUGCUGCAUGGCUGUCGUCAGCUCGUGUCGUGAGAUGUUGGGUUAAGUCCCGCAACGAGCGCAACCCUCGCCCUUAGUUGCCAUCAUUUAGUUGGGCACUCUAAGGGGACUGCCGGUGAUAAGCCGGAGGAAGGUGGGGAUGACGUCAAGUCCUCAUGGCCCUUACGGGCUGGGCUACACACGUGCUACAAUGGCGGUGACAGAGGGAUGCAAAGGGGCGACCCUUCGCAAAUCUCAAAAAGCCGUCUCAGUUCGGAUUGGGGUCUGCAACUCGACCCCAUGAAGUUGGAAUCGCUAGUAAUCGCAGAUCAGCACGCUGCGGUGAAUACGUUCCCGGGC